AUGAACGCUGGCGGCGUGCCUAAUACAUGCAAGUCGAGCGAACGGACGAGAAGCUUGCCUCUCUGAUGUUAGCGGCGGACGGGUGAGUAACACGUGGAUAACCUACCUAUAAGACUGGGAUAACUUCGGGAAACCGGAGCUAAUACCGGAUAAUAUUUUGAACCGCAUGGUUCAAAAGUGAAAGACGGUCUUGCUGUCACUUAUAGAUGGAUCCGCGCUGCAUUAGCUAGUUGGUAAGGUAACGGCUUACCAAGGCAACGAUGCAUAGCCGACCUGAGAGGGUGAUCGGCCACACUGGAACUGAGACACGGUCCAGACUCCUACGGGAGGCAGCAGUAGGGAAUCUUCCGCAAUGGGCGAAAGCCUGACGGAGCAACGCCGCGUGAGUGAUGAAGGUCUUCGGAUCGUAAAACUCUGUUAUUAGGGAAGAACAUAUGUGUAAGUAACUGUGCACAUCUUGACGGUACCUGAUCAGAAAGCCACGGCUAACUACGUG
Molecule: ribosomal RNA, 496 nt
Filed under: uncultured bacterium
Lineage: Bacteria
Description: partial 16S ribosomal RNA
Rfam family: Bacterial small subunit ribosomal RNA
Source: RNAcentral